GCCUUCGUGGUGUAGUGGUCAGCCCGCUCGACGCGUAACCGAGAGGUCCGUGGUUCGAUUCCCGGCGAAGGCG
Molecule: transfer RNA, 73 nt
Filed under: Stegodyphus mimosarum
Lineage: Eukaryota; Metazoa; Arthropoda; Arachnida; Araneae; Eresidae
Rfam family: tRNA
About the family: Transfer RNA (tRNA) molecules are approximately 80 nucleotides in length. Their secondary structure includes four short double-helical elements and three loops (D, anti-codon, and T loops).
Source: Rfam by way of RNAcentral